This 194-nucleotide ribosomal RNA is filed under the name Staphylococcus aureus. RNAcentral describes it as "partial 16S ribosomal RNA". It matches the Rfam family "Bacterial small subunit ribosomal RNA", at positions 1 to 189 of the family's 1533-position model. Lineage: Bacteria; Bacillati; Bacillota; Bacilli; Caryophanales; Staphylococcaceae. The record is from RNAcentral.
UUUAUGGAGAGUUUGAUCCUGGCUCAGGAUGAACGCUGGCGGCGUGCCUAAUACAUGCAAGUCGAGCGAACGGACGAGAAGCUUGCUUCUCUGAUGUUAGCGGCGGACGGGUGAGUAACACGUGGAUAACCUACCUAUAAGACUGGGAUAACUUCGGGAAACCGGAGCUAAUACCGGAUAAUAUUUUGAACCGC